UAACAGCUAGAUGAGCUCUUCCUAUUUCUGCAACAAUUUUUAACGUUCCCACUCUGUUCUGUUUUCUUCUUGCUGCUGCAAGUUUUAAAAAAAAAAAAUUGAAAACAAAAAGCAAAAAUAGAAAGCAAUUUAUAGGAACAUACUUUGUGCAAAGCAUUUAAGAUGGAGUCAAGACAGGAGGGUAAUAUCCGUAAAUUACGCCAUCAUUGAGGACGGAGUAGACUGUCUGGCGUGGAAUUUAAUAGGGCUUGAGCUCUUUGUAACAUUUGUAGUGGGAUUUUUUGCAAUGAUUAUCUGAGCCUUGGUGGUGUGUAAUCUCAAAUAUCAAUGGAGGCUGCCGCUGCCACUUUAUGUGGUGAUGCGUCAGUGCAGCUUUGCAAUGGUGCUAAAGGGAGUGAGAAUUUGGGUGACGACCUCCUUGAGGACUUAGAUUCGUAUUUGGAAGAUCUCAAUGAUCGGUUGACAAUCUCUAGGAUGGUGAGUGAUUCUGUGAUUAAGGGCAUUGUGAGUGCAGUUGAACAGGAGGCUUCAGAAAGAAUUGCUGAAAAAGAGCUGGAGAUGGUUGGGCUGAAAGAGACAUUGCAUUUGUACUGUGUGGGUGAAGAUAAAAAUGGAUCACUGGGGUUCCAAGUACCAUCCCAUAAGCGAACGAGUGUGAAACAAGGGCUGCCUUUGAGCUUUUCAGGCACUUUAGAAGAGCAUGAUAGGAUGAGGCAAUCCUUAAAUAGCCUAAGAAUUGCAGCUAAGGGACAGUUUAAGAACCUCAAGAAAGAAAUUGAUCAGAUGAGAGGGUGUAGUUCUAUAAAGAGGAUUAGCUCCAACUCUGAAUUGGUAGGAUUGGGUGGCAUUCUAGAUGAGAAGGUAUCUGGAAAAUGGAUGGAUGUAGAUAGAGCACUUCAGAAUUUGAAAACUACACUGGAUGCGGUAUACAAACAGGUGGAUGAUAUGGUUUACAUGUCUAAGGCAUCACUUUCUGAGUGGCAGCAGGAGAAGGAGUUUCAAGGAGAAGUUGAAGCUAUGGUGAUCAGGAAUUCUAUAUGCAGUCUCCAAGAGGAGUUUGAAGAAAAAUUGUGGGACCAAAAUGCUCAAUUCUGUGGAAUCCAAAUUGUAAGCUGGCUUGAAAAGUUCAAUGAGAUAUCGAGCUUACGCCAAGAAUUAGAUACGAUUUCUAAGUUAUUGUCUUCCCCUGAAAUUGGGCAUCUGAUAUCACAUGGCUACGAGAGCAGUGAGGAAUGGAAUAAUGCUAAAAGGACAGAUCAUUUCCACCGCAAGGUCUCUGGUUCUCUUUGGGAGGGAAAUGGCAAACAUGGGGAUUCUAAAAUCACUUUGCCAGAGAAUUUGGAAUCUUCCCAACUGAAGCACAUGUCAAAGGAAGAAUUGUUUAAAUAUUUUAAAGCUGAGAUGACCAAGAUGAAGAGGAACCAUGAGUCUCAAGUGCAAGAGAUGACUGAAGAAUAUUUCAUUCUGAAGCGAGAAUUGUUUAAAGAAAGGGAAGCUUCUUUGCUGCUGAGGAAGGAUAAGGAGUUUGAUGUGUUGAAGAAAAAGAUACCACAGGUUAUCUCAAAACUGGAAUAUGUCCUUCUGGAAAAUGAGAAAUUACCUUCAGGCUGUAGUAAGGGUGAGAGUCUUGGCGGUUUGAAAGACAGAUUGGACGCCCUGCUAUCAGAGAACCGGAAGCUUAGGGACUUGCUUACAGAUAAGAAAAAGGAAGUUAAGUGCCUGACAAUGCUAGUUUCUGAUGCUGCAGAGAAAAAGUCAAAGCAUUCUUUGGCGGAGGCAAACUAUUCGAAAAUGAUAGGGAAUUUUAAGUGUGCUAUAGAAGAUGCACAUAUAGAGGCAUUUGUUAGUGAUGAGGUUUAUAAAUGUGUUCUCAGGGAGGUAACAGGCCAGAUCAGAUGUGACACCGAACAGUCAGAUCUGGAGUCUGUUAUCAUGCAAGAUAUUUGUGGAAUUAUUUUCAGAGAAGCUGUUCAUGAUGCCGAGGCUGCUGUUGAGUGUGGAAUUGGAGAUUCAGACAUGCAGUCUAUGAUAAUGCAAGAACUCUGCAAAAUCAUAUUCAGAGAGGCUUUUAAGGAUGCAGCAGCGGAAGUUAAUAUUUUGAAGACGAAGUAUGUUAGUGAAAAUGAUCUUCGGAUGUCCCUUGAAGGGAAAGUGUUGGAAGUAGAAAGAGCAUUAAAAUCGGAGAAUGAAGAGAAAGAAAGACUAAAGCAAGAGAUGCUCCUAAUGGCAUUAUCAAUGGAAGAAAAGGAUAAGUCAGAACUGGAAAUAGUAACUGCACUACAAAAGGAGAAGGAGCAGUUUGAUCUAACUUCUCAGGAACUUCACAGGUUAAGAGAGCAGGUCAGUCAGCAGCAGAUGUUGAUUUCUGAUGGCAGUAAAGAAUCAGAUUUGAUGAAGAGCAAAUUGGUAGAGGCUCUGGUGAAAAUUGAUCUAUAUGAGGGAGAAAUCAGCACAUUGAAUCAGAAGCUAGAUUUGACAUUGGAGGAAUUUAGGGAAACUGAUGAAAAAAGAAGGGUCCUUCUUGGUGUUGUCCAAGAGAAGCAAAAUAUCUUAGCUUUGGCUAAAACAGAAGAUUGUGAUAACAGGAAAAAGUUGGAAUCAAUUAUUACUCUUGCCCAUGGAUUAUUGAAAGCCAUUGCUGACCUUGAAUGCAGAGUAAUGGAAACUAUCAAACGGAAUAGUUUCAGAUUGGAAGACUCAACUUCUCAGUUGAGUUCUCUUAUCCAGAGAGCUAUUGUACUUAGACGGACCGGGGUUCUAUACAAGCAGAGGCUUGAAAAGAGAUGUUCUGACCUUCAAAAGGCUGAAGCUGAGGUUGAUCUUUUGGGGGAUGAGGCAGAUGCUCUUUUAAGUCUUCUGGAAAAAAUAUACAUAGCACUUGAUCAUUACUCGCCAAUAUUGCAGCACUAUUCUGGAAUAAUGGAGAUUUUGAAGCUAAUUAGAAGAGAAUUAAGUGGAGAAUCUAUAAAGCAAGUGUGAUUUUCUGGUUGACAAGGAAAGCAAUUUGCCCUUGCAAUUGGAGAAUUCUGCUCAAAGGUGAGCCUUGAGCCAUUGUUUAGGUGUGUUACCCUGUAACUGAAGGUUGCAACUCCAAGUCACGGAAGGAGCCACCCCAAAGGCCAGAGAUAUGAGGCUGCAUUGUUUUUGGGUGGUCAGGGCUCCGAUUUUUGCCAUUAGAGAAUUGAAGUAGGGCAAUCAUUUCUCAGCAAUCUACUUCAAAAACUGAAGUAAAUUAUUCUCACUGAAGUUCAGCCAAAACAGAUGCUCACUUCUUGACAAUGCCUAUUAUUUUAUUGCAAGUCUCAAAGGAAGGAUCUUUCAAGGAAAGGGGGAGAGAACCCAGAGAGUUGCAAGGAAUUUGCAGGUGGCUCGGGCGCUCAAUUGUUGUGGUAUAGUUUUUUGUCGUAUAUAUUUUUGUUCUUGAGGCUUUUAGGCCUGCCCCAAAAUCAGCAGUUUAGGAAAUUAUUGAUACCUUGCCUUCUAUUUUAUAGCUUCCUGUUCUGUUACUUUUUCUUCAGCUUUGUAUAGGUUCAAAAUGUAUAUUUGAUUUUCCAACGCUGUAAAAAAGAAAGAAAAUAGGUCAUAUUUUCGGGUCUGGGCCAUGGAAAUGUUUGCAUUAUUUACUACGAGGGUUUGUUAA
Molecule: RNA transcript, 3640 nt
Organism: Malania oleifera
Lineage: Eukaryota; Viridiplantae; Streptophyta; Magnoliopsida; Santalales; Ximeniaceae
Gene name: WPP domain-associated protein
Exons: 7
Source: RefSeq, a predicted model, not a curated record